RNAcentral lists this long non-coding RNA (408 nucleotides) under Dendronephthya gigantea. RNAcentral describes it as "uncharacterized LOC114523637". Lineage: Eukaryota; Metazoa; Cnidaria; Anthozoa; Malacalcyonacea; Nephtheidae. The record is from RNAcentral.
CAUGGUAUACUGAUCUGUGUUGUUUUCUGUGAUUAAGUGAUGUUUUUCUUCAUGUUGUUUAUCACUGAAGCUAAAGAAUUGAGAUACAACAAUCUUUGACUGACUUUAGGUGUAAGACGUUCGCCCAGCUAUUGUAGACCGCAUGGAAUCGAUUCAAGUCCUUUAAAAAUUUGUGAAUCAAGAUGAGAAUGAACUUAGUGAAUCGGUGGCGAUCGAAGGUGGACAGCAAGAUCGAAGCUCAGCAAGAUUGAAGGUUGUUCGAGGAAGAAGGAGUUCGCCGUUGACUAAAAGGUUUAUCUGAACAGCUAGUUGUCAAGAUGAACGUGAAGAGAAAAAAGAUGAAAUAGAAGACUCGCCCGGCCAAAUUCAAAAUGGCGAUGCCAAAGAAAACCAUGCACGUGGACCGUU